CCUCCAUGUUCCGCGCUUCUUUGUGUUUGCGUGUAUAUAUGGCGUGCACGCGUGCAUGCGUUCGUGCUUACCGCAAUGAAAUCGAUACGAGUUCUUUCGACGACUUCCUUCGAAAUGCAACCUAGGGAAAAAGGGCGGCUCUCCAUCCCCAAGGGUGGUUGCUACUCACAUCACCAUAAAAAUGACGCUCGUUUGCGAGAUCGAUCACGUACUUAUGUACGUAAUCACGUGACAAUCGUCUGCACUGUUUUUAGGUCGCAGAGAAGCUAAUCGUCUUAACGGCAACGGCGGUUAGUAAAUAGCCGGAGAUAUUGACCGCCCUGCACGUACACGCGGAGCGAACCGAUAAGCAUGUCGUAAAGCAGUUAACGAGGAACGCCAUAGGCCGACCACCGAUCCAUCGCUAAUUACGGAUGCACCCAGUGUCACGAUUACAACACGCGGAGAUGUUCGGCUGGCGCGAAACGAUCCGACAUCCGACAAUAGUUGCGAAACAGGCAACGGGCAACAGGAUGCACGAGAGGGUGCGCUUGACGCGAUAAUAAAUAUCACGAAAUAUCAUGGAUGCGUACAGCAGCCACCAAAUACUCGCGAGACCCGGAUAUGGGGCAAAACGGAAGUGCAGUCGUAAACUACAUAUAUAAAGCCUACAGAGAGCAGGUCGUAUCGUUGACGUGUGAUGGGCUCGAAGAGAAUGCAUCGAACUUGAUGCACCAAGUCAACGA
Molecule: long non-coding RNA, 725 nt
Organism: Nylanderia fulva
Lineage: Eukaryota; Metazoa; Arthropoda; Insecta; Hymenoptera; Formicidae
Source: RefSeq, a predicted model, not a curated record